Molecule: ribosomal RNA, 1275 nt
Filed under: metagenome
Description: SSU rRNA
Rfam family: Eukaryotic small subunit ribosomal RNA
Source: RNAcentral
AGUCUGGUGCCAGCAGCCGCGGUAAUUCCAGCUCCAAUAGGAUAUAUCAAAGUUGUUGCAGUUAAAAAGCUCGUAGUUGAAUUUCUGGAAGGUAGAAGUGUUUUUUUUAGAGAAGCAAUUUUUUAUUGAAAGCACCGCUUUCCAUUUUGUGGAUUUCUGUUUUGUAUAAAGAUAGUUUACUCUAUUUUAUAUAAAAUACCACUCCGUCACUGAGAGCAAAUUGGAGUGCUCAAAGCAGGCUUUAUUAGCUUUGAACAUUUUAGCUUGGAAUGACAAGAUAUGACUUUUGUUUUAUUUUGUUGGUUAUGAAAUAAAAGUAAUGAUUAACAGGAACAGUUGCGGGGGUACUCGUAUUGAAAGGUCAGAGGUGAAAUUCUUGGAUUCUUUCAAGACGAACGACUGCGAAAGCAUUUACCAAGGAUGUUUUCAUUAAUCAAGAACGAAAGCUCGGGGAUCGAAGAUGAUUAGAUACCAUCGUAGUCCGACGCCAUAAACGAUGCCGACUCGGGAUUAUUUUGUUUGUUUAAAUUAAAAAAGAACACAAAGUAGCACCGUAUGAGAAAUCAAAGUCUUUGGGUUCCGGGGGGAGUAUGGUCGCAAGGCUGAAACUUAAAGGAAUUGACGGAAGGGCACACCAGAGGUGGAGCCUGCGGUUUAAUUUGACCCAACACGGGGAAACUUACCAGGUCCAGACAUGAUGAGGAUUGACAGUUUGAAAGCACUUUCUUGAUUUCAUGGGUGGUGGUGCAUGGCCGUUCUUAGUUGGUGGAGUGAUUUGUCUGGUUGAUUCCGAUAACGAACGAGACGGGGUGAAUUUACUAGUUUGUUAUAUAAUUUACGUUAUAUAAGACUUCUUUAUUCGACAACUUGGUUUACCAAGAGGAAGCGCCCCGCAAUAACAGGUCUGUGAUGCCCUUAGAUGUUCUGGGCUACACGCGCGCUACAAUGACGAAUUCAACGAGUUUAAAAUUAAUUCCUUAUCCGGAAGGAUGUGGGUAAUCUUUUCAAUAUUCGUCGUGAUGGGGCUAGAUUUUUGCAAUUAUUAAUCUUCAACGAGGAAUCUCUAGUAUGUGCGAGUCAUCAGCUUGCGCAGAAUGCGUCCCUGCCCUUUGUACACACCGCCCGUCGCACCUACCGAUUGGACGAUCCGGCAAGAUGUUUGGAGUUGUUUUGAUUGUAGAGUAAUUUAUGAUGAAAAUGACAAAGCUCUUCAAACCUUAUCGUCUAGAGGAAGGUGAAGUCGUAACAAGGUCUCCGUAGGUGAACCUGCGGAGG